This 204-nucleotide long non-coding RNA is filed under the name Elaeis guineensis (African oil palm). RNAcentral's name for it is "long non-coding RNA (EGUI_LNC024314)". The record is from RNAcentral. Lineage: Eukaryota; Viridiplantae; Streptophyta; Magnoliopsida; Arecales; Arecaceae.
GGUUCGCUCUCGAUGUAUGUCUGAAUACCAUCAGUAGAUGAUUCUAUAGUCAAAUCAAAUAAAUCACAUGGCUUGAUGUUGACAACAACAUGCCAACUUUUAUCUGUCGGAUCCUCAACAUAGAAAAUUUUCUUUGCUUGAGAUGCCAGGAUAAAAGAUUCAUAUGAUAAGUUCUAUCCGAUAUGAAUUAGCCGUUUGAAGUUG